AUCGUGAUCGUGAGAUCUACUCCUUCGUCUCCGUCCGCUCCGUCCUCCUUUUUUUGGCUGCCAUCCGCCAAGUUGAGGAGCAUCUUCCGAGUACAACCAUCUUGAGGAGCAUCUUCGAGCUUCACACCUGUGCCAAAGAUACCGUUAUGCUUCUUCUGAGACAACGAGAAGGGUUUGGUAUGAGAUACAUUCAUUAGGGACAUCGACAUCUGAGCUGGAAGCCAAGAGGCAGCAGCAAAGGCUUAAUUUUCUCAUACAACAAACUGAGAUGUACAGUCACUUUAAGCAGAACAAGUCAAACUUACUAUUGUCUGAAGCUUUACCCAUGGUAGAAGAAAAAACAAAUGAUCAAGAUGCAGUGUUCAACUCUUCACAUGCUGGGCCUAGUGAGGAGGAAGAUCCAGAAGAGGCUGAAUUAAAAAAGGAAGCUUUGAAGGCUGCUCAAGAUGCAACCUCUAAGAAGACAUGUUCGUACCAAAAAGAAGGAUAGUUUCGUCAAUAUUCGUGUGCCUCAUUUUAUAUUUCCCCGAGACGGAAAGAGUUCCAACUUUUCAAUGGAGUUUCAUA
This is a long non-coding RNA of Gastrolobium bilobum, 567 nucleotides long. RefSeq lists it as uncharacterized. The record is from RefSeq and is a predicted model, not a curated record. The transcript has 3 exons. NCBI's taxonomy places the organism in Eukaryota, Viridiplantae, Streptophyta, Magnoliopsida, Fabales, Fabaceae.